AAUCCAUAGGUUAAUGAGGCGAACCGGGGGAACUGAAACAUCUAAGUACCCCGAGGAAAAGAAAUCAACCGAGAUUCCCCCAGUAGCGGCGAGCGAACGGGGAGGAGCCCAGAGCCUGAAUCAGCAUGUGUGUUAGUGGAAGCGUCUGGAAAGGCGCGCGAUACAGGGUGACAGCCCCGUACACAAAAGCGCAUGUGCUGUGAGCUCGAUGAGUAGGGCGGGACACGUGGUAUCCUGUCUGAAUAUGGGGGGACCAUCCUCCAAGGCUAAAUACUCCUGACUGACCGAUAGUGAACCAGUACCGUGAGGGAAAGGCGAAAAGAACCCCGGCGAGGGGAGUGAAAAAGAACCUGAAACCGUGUACGUACAAGCAGUGGGAGCACCCUUUGGGUGUGACUGCGUACCUUUUGUAUAAUGGGUCAGCGACUUAUAUUCUGUAGCAAGGUUAACCGAAUAGGGGAGCCGGAGGGAAACCGAGUCUUAAUUGGGCGUUAAGUUGCAGGGUAUAGACCCGAAACCCGGUGAUCUAGCCAUGGGCAGGUUGAAGGUUGGGUAACACUAACUGGAGGACCGAACCGACUAAUGUUGAAAAAUUAGCGGAUGACCUGUGGCUGGGGGUGAAAGGCCAAUCAAACCGGGAGAUAGCUGGUUCUCCCCGAAAGCUAUUUAGGUAGCGCCUCGUGAAUUCAUCUCCGGGGGUAGAGCACUGUUUCGGCUAGGGGGCCAUCCCGGCUUACCAACCCGAUGCAAACUGCGAAUACCGGAGAAUGUUAUCACGGGAGACACACGGCGGGUGCUAACGUCCGUCGUGAAGAGGGAAACAACCCAGACCGCCAGCUAAGGUCCCAAAGUCAUGGUUAAGUGGGAAACGAUGUGGGAAGGCCCAGACAGCCAGGAUGUUGGCUUAGAAGCAGCCAUCAUUUAAAGAAAGCGUAAUAGCUCACUGGUCGAGUCGGCCUGCGCGGAAGAUGUAACGGGGCUAAACCAUGCACCGAAGCUGCGGCAGCGACGCUUAUGCGUUGUUGGGUAGGGGAGCGUUCUGUAAGCCUGCGAAGGUGGCCUGUGAGGGUUGCUGGAGGUAUCAGAAGUGCGAAUGCUGACAUAAGUAACGAUAAAGCGGGUGAAAAGCCCGCUCGCCGGAAGACCAAGGGUUCCUGUCCAACGUUAAUCGGGGCAGGGUGAGUCGACCCCUAAGGCGAGGCCGAAAGGCGUAGUCGAUGGGAAACGGGUUAAUAUUCCCGUACUUGGUGUUACUGCGAAGGGGGGACGGAGAAGGCUAUGUUGGCCGGGCGACGGUUGUCCCGGUUUAAGCGUGUAGGCUGGUUUUCCAGGCAAAUCCGGAAAAUCAAGGCUGAGGCGUGAUGACGAGGCACUACGGUGCUGAAGCAACAAAUGCCCUGCUUCCAGGAAAAGCCUCUAAGCAUCAGGUAACAUCAAAUCGUACCCCAAACCGACACAGGUGGUCAGGUAGAGAAUACCAAGGCGCUUGAGAGAACUCGGGUGAAGGAACUAGGCAAAAUGGUGCCGUAACUUCGGGAGAAGGCACGCUGACACGUAGGUGAAGUGAUUUACUCACGGAGCUGAAGUCAGUCGAAGAUACCAGCUGGCUGCAACUGUUUAUUAAAAACACAGCACUGUGCAAACACGAAAGUGGACGUAUACGGUGUGACGCCUGCCCGGUGCCGGAAGGUUAAUUGAUGGGGUCAGCGCAAGCGAAGCUCCUGAUCGAAGCCCCGGUAAACGGCGGCCGUAACUAUAACGGUCCUAAGGUAGCGAAAUUCCUUGUCGGGUAAGUUCCGACCUGCACGAAUGGCGUAAUGAUGGCCAGGCUGUCUCCACCCGAGACUCAGUGAAAUUGAACUCGCUGUGAAGAUGCAGUGUACCCGCGGCAAGACGGAAAGACCCCGUGAACCUUUACUAUAGCUUGACACUGAACAUUGAGCCUUGAUGUGUAGGAUAGGUGGGAGGCUUUGAAGCGUGGACGCCAGUCUGC
RNAcentral lists this ribosomal RNA (1993 nucleotides) under Salmonella enterica subsp. enterica serovar Enteritidis. RNAcentral's name for it is "partial 23S ribosomal RNA". It matches the Rfam family "Bacterial large subunit ribosomal RNA", at positions 161 to 2179 of the family's 2925-position model. The record is from RNAcentral. Lineage: Bacteria; Pseudomonadati; Pseudomonadota; Gammaproteobacteria; Enterobacterales; Enterobacteriaceae.